This is a long non-coding RNA of Perca flavescens (yellow perch), 259 nucleotides long. RefSeq lists it as uncharacterized. The record is from RefSeq and is a predicted model, not a curated record. NCBI's taxonomy places the organism in Eukaryota, Metazoa, Chordata, Actinopteri, Perciformes, Percidae. The transcript has 3 exons.
CAAGAUUUCAAUUGAGCAGGAGGUGACAUUGCCCACCACACCAAGGCGGAUCAUGCUAGGAAGAAGUUUGACAUCUUCCACCCAUUGGAUGGUCAGCAUUGAGGGGAAGGUCCUCUUUGAAGCUAACCAACUUAAUGCCAGUGCUUUUGUCGUCUUCUUUGGCUCCUUUUAUGCGUUCAAUCUUGAAUAUCAAGAGUCAGCAUCUACUACAUUGGAGUUGGUACAAGGAUCAACCCAGAUGAGGGCACCAAGUGCAUGG